This 201-nucleotide long non-coding RNA is filed under the name Elaeis guineensis (African oil palm). RNAcentral's name for it is "long non-coding RNA (EGUI_LNC063839)". Lineage: Eukaryota; Viridiplantae; Streptophyta; Magnoliopsida; Arecales; Arecaceae. The record is from RNAcentral.
UGUAGGCCUUUUGGCCAAAGAAAAUUAUAAGAUUUCAAUAAAGAAAAAUUUUUAUAAUAUCAUUUUGCAUGGUGUUACUGUAAUGCAUAGAUAAUUGAAUAAUAAAAUUUAUAUUAUAUCAUGACCUGGUAUAAUAUAUAUGUCAAACAAAUAUUCUAGGAUAGAUGAUGUCUUAGAUGCCUAUCCUUGGCAUUAUAGGCU